UCAUCUUCAAGGCAAUUGUCUCAGGCAUCCUCCAGGCAUCAUGAAGGAGGCACGACAAGUGUUCAAAAGAGAACCAGGCCCAGCCCGGAGAAAGGAAAGCCAAAAGCCAACUGAAUGAAUGACCCUCCCCCAGAAGAGCAACCCUGCCCCCAGGCCAUCCAAGUGCGAACAUUACCAGGUGCCAGCAGGGAAAGGACUCCGCUGCCUGACGCCUCUCCCACCUGAGAGCGCAGAGUUCACCCUUUGGUGACCUCCACCGUGGCUGCAGACUUCAGGUGGUCCUCACGCAUUCACAGAACUGUCUGCUUAG
RNAcentral lists this long non-coding RNA (310 nucleotides) under Homo sapiens (human). RNAcentral's name for it is "HSALNT0380979". The record is from RNAcentral. Lineage: Eukaryota; Metazoa; Chordata; Mammalia; Primates; Hominidae.